RNAcentral lists this Y RNA (102 nucleotides) under Saimiri boliviensis boliviensis (Bolivian squirrel monkey). RNAcentral describes it as "Y RNA (ENSSBOG00000000439.1)". It matches the Rfam family "Y RNA". Rfam says of the family: Y RNAs are components of the Ro ribonucleoprotein particle (Ro RNP), in association with Ro60 and La proteins. The Y RNAs and Ro60 and La proteins are well conserved, but the function of the Ro RNP is not known. In humans the RNA component can be one of four small RNAs -- hY1, hY3, hY4 and hY5. The record is from Rfam by way of RNAcentral. Lineage: Eukaryota; Metazoa; Chordata; Mammalia; Primates; Cebidae.
AGCUGCUCUGAGUGCAGUGGUAUUUACUACUAAUUGAUCACAACCAGUUGUAGAUUUCUUUGUUCCUUUUCCACUUGCAUUGCUUCACUUGACUAGCCUUAA